GGGACAAGACAUCACUGACUGAAUUUUUCUCAUUUCCUGUUCCCGUGCCCAACACUGAAAGUCGGAAACACCUCCAUCUUGCCUCUCCACACCAUGGACCUCUUGCUUUUAUGCUGGGUGGCCUUUUGUCUCUUGGGAAGAGGCUCCAUAGGUGCUGGCAUUACCCAGACUCCAAGGAAUGGGAUUAUAGAGACAGGAAAGAGCAUUGGACUGGAGUGUUUUCAGACUAUGAAUCAUGACUAUAUGUACUGGUAUCGACAAGACGCAGAACUGGGGCUACAGCUGAUCUACGUUUCCUACGGUGUUGACGAUAUUAACGAAGGAGAAGCCUCCAGUGGGUACAAUGCUUCUCGAGAGAAGCCAGAGAAAUUCUCCCUGUCCCUAGAGACUGCCGUCCCCAAACAGACAGCUCUUUACUUCUGUGCCACCAGAGAUAUUCACAGUGCUUCUUGGCCACCUGCUCUCUAUACAGAAAGACAAGCACGUUUGCUCAGAGGGGCACAGAAGGCUUUCCCCAUGUGGGAUGUGGGGAUCCUUAGGGGUCUCAGUAGCUCUCUGCUGUAUGUGCCUCAGUCUGAGCUUAAGGCCACAUUGGAUCAAUGUCCAAAGGCCAUGUGGUGA
This is a non-coding RNA of Suricata suricatta (meerkat), 621 nucleotides long. The record is from the annotation of a RefSeq genome assembly. NCBI's taxonomy places the organism in Eukaryota, Metazoa, Chordata, Mammalia, Carnivora, Herpestidae.